This 63-nucleotide transfer RNA is filed under the name Pholas orientalis. RNAcentral's name for it is "tRNA-Arg". The record is from RNAcentral. Lineage: Eukaryota; Metazoa; Mollusca; Bivalvia; Myida; Pholadidae.
CAGGUGAAAGUAUAGAAUUGUACACGUGAUUUCGGCUCACGAAGGGAAAGGUUUCUCAUCUGU